AUGGGAUGGGAGCAAAGCCCAGGCUGGUGCCCUCCAUUUGGGGUGCUGGGGGGGUCCCAGGGAAAAUCUGGGGGCGCACGGAGGGCAGGAGGUGGCCAAAGCCUCUGCACGAGGGAGCCUGAGCUGGGGCUCGGUGGCUGGGAUGGAAAAUGCUGGGGACAGGGUGCUCGGGGCUGGCUGUGCCCCAGGAGCUGGGGACAACUGGGAGCAGGGGGCAGGGAGCAGGGAGGGCUGCGGAGCACCUGCGUCUGCCAAAAAUUUGGCCAAAGCCCAGGGCAAUUAGCUGCUGGCUUGGCGCUGGAGCAAACAAGAGGCUGGGAUGGCACGGCCACGCUUCGGAGAGCUCCGUGCUGCAGGAUGGGACCCGGCAGGGCUGGGGUGACCCCAAAACCCAGCCUCCAUCCCCAGGAGCCUCCAUCCCCAGGAGCCUCCAUCCCCACGCAGCAGCCACCCGUGGGUGCCCUCUCCUGGCCGCAUCCCACACGCAGAGUUUUCACCCAAUAUAUUCUAUUUUUUUCCCCUAUUUUUGUGCUGACUCUGCUCCAGGCACGGUGGUGCCCAUCCUGCUCGGAGCUGAGGGCGCUGCUGGCUCCCAGCCCUUUUUUUAGGACUCCCAGGGGUGACCUCACCUGGCCCAGGAGCUGCAAUUCCUGCACCGAGCUCCCUCGCUGGAACAACCUGGCCCCGUUUAUGGGCUUUACACCACUCCUGGAGCUGCUCCUCGCUGCGAAACCACGGCGAGCUCGGCUCUUCUGGCAGGAAAAACGAGCAGCUGCUGGUGCUGGCACUGUCCCCGCGCUGUCACAGCUCUGCCAAGGCGCUGCACAAAGCCACAGAGCCCCUCCUGGACGACGUGCCAAGUAUGUCAAAUCGCCCGAUGGUGGACACGAAGAUGACGAGUUACAAAACCUCAGCCGUGUUUUAGCCAAGACCCAGAGGCUCGGCCCCAACGCCGCCGGGAUCCUCGCCGUGUGCUCAGUGAAACCUGGCUCCUGGAGCUGGUUCACACCCGCCCCAAAGCCCUCGCUGCUGCAGAAGCUGCAGGGAAGGCUGGCAAAGGGCUGCUGUGCUGAAACAUGCCCCAUACAAUGA
Molecule: long non-coding RNA, 1092 nt
Filed under: Anas platyrhynchos platyrhynchos (common mallard)
Lineage: Eukaryota; Metazoa; Chordata; Aves; Anseriformes; Anatidae
Description: lncRNA (ENSAPLG00000023319.1)
Source: RNAcentral